Molecule: ribosomal RNA, 468 nt
Filed under: uncultured bacterium
Lineage: Bacteria
Description: partial 16S ribosomal RNA
Rfam family: Bacterial small subunit ribosomal RNA
Source: RNAcentral
GACGAACGCUGGCGGCGUGCUUAACACAUGCAAGUCGAACGGAAAGGCCCUGCUUUUGUGGGGUGCUCGAGUGGCGAACGGGUGAGUAACACGUGAGUAACCUGCCCUUGACUUUGGGAUAACUUCAGGAAACUGGGGCUAAUACCGGAUAGGAGCUCCUGCUGCAUGGUGGGGGUUGGAAAGUUUCGGCGGUUGGGGAUGGACUCGCGGCUUAUCAGCUUGUUGGUGGGGUAGUGGCUUACCAAGGCUUUGACGGGUAGCCGGCCUGAGAGGGUGACCGGCCACAUUGGGACUGAGAUACGGCCCAGACUCCUACGGUAGGCAGCAGUGGGGAAUAUUGCACAAUGGGCGGAAGCCUGAUGCAGCAACGUCGCGUGCGGGAUGACGGCCUUCGGGUUGUAAACCGCUUUCGCCUGUGACGAAGCGUGAGUGACGGUAAUGGGUAAAGAAGCACCGGCUAACUACGUG